GUUUGAGCAAGUUGCCUCACUUCUCAGCUUCGAUGUCCUCGUCUGGACAGGGCAAUGAUGGCUCACCCCUGCUUGUUGGGGGGCCAUGGAGGAAUUAAAUGUGGUAAUGGAUGAAAAGCACUUCCAACAGUGCCCAACAUGCAGUAGGUGCUUCUUUCCCAACCAAUGCUGGUACUGGCCCAUGCCAUCGCACACCUGCUCCCGAGAUCCACCUCCUGGUCUGUAAAGGGGAGAGUGAGCAGGAGAGAUGCCUGACAGGCCUUAACAGACCUGCUAGCUCCCUCUCCCUCUCCUGCACUCUCUGCCCCAAGCGGAGCAGAGCCAAGGGGUGUUGCUCUCAAGUGGAUGUGUUUCAGGGGAGGCAGACUUCCAGCUCUGGUUUGCACUUGGCUCACUGGCGUUAUCACCCACCUUGGAAUGUGGGCACCAUCUCACAGGUCGCCCCACCCUACUGCCUGAGUUCCUGCUCCCACAGCCCUCUGCUCCUCCCAGGCUCCAGCCCUGCUCCAGUCUCGUCUCCCUGUCCCUGCUUCUCCCUCUGCGGGAGCCUCCUACCAAAUCUGAGACCCAUCAGAACCCACCCUCUAAUCCAAACAGUCUCACUGGGCAUGGAGGGUGGGGGAGGCCAACUCCACGUCAAGUUCAAGCAACUCCUCUGCCCCUGGUCACCCACCUUCUCUUCUCUCUGCAUCUGAGCAGCAGAUGAUAGAUCCAAGCCAGAGGAUGCCGGAGUGAGUUACAGAUGGUUUUGAAUCCUCUGUACUAGGGCUAUGAAUGCCAUAUGGCAGAUGCUCUGAAGUGCCUGUGAUGAAGGAAUAUUCUUUUUCUUCUUCAAGGUGCAUGAAUGAUGGACAGUAGGUCAGAAUGGGUGGCCAGCAGUUAACAGGCAUGGGGCAAUGAUUUCACACUGAAAUGCACGACUGGGUACGGAGUGGGGCAGGUACGAGAGGUUGGCAGGAGGAAGCUGUGUGGAACAUUUGGGACCACAGAACGUCAAAGCCAGAAGACCCCAAACGAUGACCAGACUCGUGUGUCACAGAACUGUGAGAUCAGAAAAAGCACCCAUGAGACAUUUGGGUAAAUACACGUGGAGUUUACAAAAUGUCUGAGGCCACCAGAACCACAUUCAAACCGGGGAAAGAACGAUGGAUGAUUUAGUGGAGGAGAGAGAGGUGAGAGUAAGCCUCGGGACGGAAGGGAAAGACCCAAGCAGCAGGAGCCACACAGGUGGAGGGCGAGGACGGUCACAAAUGAGCAGACACCUUAGGUUCCUUCAGUCAGUCAUUCAACCAUCAUUCAUCCAGUGCCUGGUUCAUGCUGGAUGGGAGCCAGGCAGAUGCUGUGGUGGUCCUCGUGGAGCUGAUGGCUUUAUGGAGGAGAAAGUAAAAAAAAUCUUGCCUGUGCGCUUCCCAUUUCCCGGACCUUAUCUACAGCAAGCGGCAGCCAAUAUUUGUCAAUUCUAUAAUCUCCAAUUUCAAUCCCUGGAUGACGUCCUACCGUGUCGUCGCCUGGUGUUUCCUGCCAUUAAUGCCUCAGCCUCCAUCUCCGCGUCUCCGGCAGGAAGCAGCGCCCUGCGCUGGAAAGAGCCAGCUGGGAAGUCACACGCUCCAGGUCCCAGCGCAGCCUCUGCCCUCCGAUAGCUGUGGGCCCGUGGGGAGCCCCCCAGCCAAAGAAGGAUGGGGCAGCAUCCAGGGCUCUCGAAUUAGGUGCUGGGAUGUUUUUUAAAAAUUUCGUAGGCCUUUAAGGCUGUGUGGAAAAUGUAAUUUGUAGAAGUUGAAUAACUGUACUGUUGCCCCAGUAGGGCCUGGGCCCGCCUGGUGCUCCCUGACCACCUGGCAGUAAGGCAGGCGGCAGUGGCGCUCCUGUGCAGCGAUGCCCGAGGCCAGCUUCCGUUCUGGUUGUUUGCUCGCCACUCACAGCCCCUGCAGAGCCGACUGGAGGGAAAAUAUGUGGACCUGUUAUCCAAGAUUAAGCAAGGCCUCGGCUGACCCUGGGGAAGAAGUCAAUAAAACUCAGCCAUGCCCAACUGGUGAAAGUUCCCGUGCCAAAUUGUUAAAAAUUCUCAUCGUCUCAUCUUCUUCCCCUGAAGACCACCAGAGGCCCCCCUGCGGUGAACAGGGUGGCUCGGUUGCAGAGGGGAGAGCGCCACAGG
Molecule: long non-coding RNA, 2152 nt
Organism: Equus caballus (horse)
Lineage: Eukaryota; Metazoa; Chordata; Mammalia; Perissodactyla; Equidae
Source: Ensembl